AAUACACAUGGAUAGGUUUGACGAAUGACGCCGCCAUUUUGAAAAUCGUCUUGGAAAUUUUUUUGUUGUGUUUAGAAUACUCUUUCAAUUCGUGAAAUCCGGCGGCUGCUCAAUCAAAUUCGGGUGAAAUUUGGCAGUGAACGGGCGACACCAGAAACAAGCCGAUGAAAAUACAUUCCGGGAGCUGGAAAGGCAGAGCAACGCCAAAUGAUGGACAUCCAAGAGGCCAAUCUUGAUGACGGACAUCGCCGGACUUGUCGCAGAACAUAAGGCAUGAGAUGAGCUACGGUGCUACCGGUGCAACCCGAGGUGCAACCUACCCAACCUGCUUCGAAACCCCGUGUGCAUGGCAGAAAAAAAUUAGGUUUAUUUUAUAGAUUGCAUCUUUAUAAUAUGUAUCAAAAUGGUUCAUUGGAAUAAAAUUUAAGAGUAAACGUAAAGAAAAA
Molecule: long non-coding RNA, 446 nt
Organism: Aedes albopictus (Asian tiger mosquito)
Lineage: Eukaryota; Metazoa; Arthropoda; Insecta; Diptera; Culicidae
Exons: 2
Source: RefSeq, a predicted model, not a curated record